GAUGAACGCUGGCGGCGUGCCUAAUACAUGCAAGUCGAGCGCAAAGAUCAGGAGCUUGCUCCUGUGAUUUGAGCGGCGGACGGGUGAGUAACACGUAGGCGACCUACCCUUGAGAUUGGGAUAACUACCGGAAACGGUAGCUAAUACCGGAUACGACCUUUCCACACAAGUGGAAUUGUUAAAAGGCGGAUUUAUCUGCCGCUCAUGGAUGGGCCUGCGGUGCAUUAGCUAGUUGGUGAGAUAGUAGCUCACCAAGGCGACGAUGCAUAGUCGACCUGAGAGGGUGAUAGGCCAAACUGGGACUGAGACACGGCCCAGACUCCUACGGGAGGCAGCAGUAGGGAAUCUUCCGCAAUGGACGAAAGUCUGACGGAGCAACGCCGCGUGAGUGAUGAAGGGUUUCGGCUCGUAAAACUCUGUUGUUAGGGAAGAAUACUUGAGGUAGUAACUGGCCUUGAGAUGACGGUACUUAACCAGAAAGCCACGGCUAACUACGUGCCAGCAGCCGCAGUAA
RNAcentral lists this ribosomal RNA (514 nucleotides) under uncultured bacterium. RNAcentral describes it as "partial 16S ribosomal RNA". It matches the Rfam family "Bacterial small subunit ribosomal RNA", at positions 28 to 523 of the family's 1533-position model. The record is from RNAcentral.